UUACUUAUUGCAUAAUUAUUUUUAAAUUAUAUGAAUAAAUAAUUUAUAUUUUAUUUCACAAUUAGUAUAAUUAUUCUUGUAAUUAUUUAUUGGAGUAUAAUAUUCCUCGUGUAAUGGAGCACUUAUUAGCUGCAUUCAUCAAUGUAAAACGUAUACGUUCACUAUGAGCCCUAUAAUGCUAUUAAAAAUUAUUCUAGGCUGAAAUGCUCGCAAGUAGGAGGCACCGCUUGGCAUUUAUAUCCAUCAUGAACGCCCCUUUAUCAUUUUCUAUAGCAUAUCUUUAGUACAGCAGGUUCACCAACCUUAGAAUUCAAAAGUUCCUUAUACCUUCUGCAUUUUGUCCCACCCUCGAAAAUAGCUAGAGGAGCAUGGCUAAUAGGAAAAUGAUAAUAUAUUUUUUUCGAUUUAUCUCUUCAGAUAAGAAAAAUGAAUUUGUCCAUUUUUGUUUGUAUUCAAUCAGUAGGUAUCAGGAGUUUGCAAUAAUACGAACUAUUAUAAUUAUUUAGUAUAUUCAUUUACAAGUGUAUAAGUUGAAAUUAUGUGUGAAACUUUGAAUUAUAAAAAGUUUUCAGUAAUUUCCAAUUUGCAAUUUGAAUGCAUUAAAUACUUAAUUCACUGUGUUUCGAAAUAAUUUCAACUUUAAACAAUUAAAAGAUAGUGAGAGGAUUUAAAAUAUUUA
Long non-coding RNA from Cotesia glomerata, 679 nucleotides. RefSeq lists it as uncharacterized. NCBI's taxonomy places the organism in Eukaryota, Metazoa, Arthropoda, Insecta, Hymenoptera, Braconidae. The transcript is spliced from 3 exons. The record is from RefSeq and is a predicted model, not a curated record.